AGAGUUUGAUCCUGGCUCAGGAUGAACGCUAGCGGCAGGCUUAACACAUGCAAGUCGAGGGGUAUAAGUCUUCGGAUUUAGAGACCGGCGCACGGGUGCGUAACGCGUAUGCAAUCUACCUUUUACAGAGGGAUAGCCCAGAGAAAUUUGGAUUAAUACCUCAUAGUAUAUAGAGUUGGCAUCAACACUAUAUUAAAGUCACAACGGUAAAAGAUGAGCAUGCGUCCCAUUAGCUUGUUGGUAAGGUAACGGCUUACCAAGGCUACGAUGGGUAGGGGUCCUGAGAGGGAGAUCCCCCACACUGGUACUGAGACACGGACCAGACUCCUACGGGAGGCAGCAGUGAGGAAUAUUGGUCAAUGGACGCAAGUCUGAACCAGCCAUGCCGCGUGCAGGAUGACGGUCCUAUGGAUUGUAAACUGCUUUUGCACAGGAAGAAACAACUCUACGUGUAGAGUCUUGACGGUACUGUGAGAAUAAGGAUCGGCUAACUCCGUGCCAGCAGCCGCGGUAAUACGGAGGAUCCAAGCGUUAUCCGGAAUCAUUGGGUUUAAAGGGUCCGUAGGCGGUUUAGUAAGUCAGUGGUGAAAGCCCAUCGCUCAACGGUGGAACGGCCAUUGAUACUGCUAAACUUGAAUUAUUAGGAAGUAACUAGAAUAUGUAGUGUAGCGGUGAAAUGCUUAGAGAUUACAUGGAAUACCAAUUGCGAAGGCAGGUUACUACUAAUGGAUUGACGCUGAUGGACGAAAGCGUGGGUAGCGAACAGGAUUAGAUACCCUGGUAGUCCACGCCGUAAACGAUGGAUACUAGCUGUUGGAAGCAAUUUCAGUGGCUAAGCGAAAGUGAUAAGUAUCCCACCUGGGGAGUACGUUCGCAAGAAUGAAACUCAAAGGAAUUGACGGGGGCCCGCACAAGCGGUGGAGCAUGUGGUUUAAUUCGAUGAUACGCGAGGAACCUUACCAAGGCUUAAAUGUAGAUUGACCGGUUUGGAAACAGACUUUUCGCAAGACAAUUUACAAGGUGCUGCAUGGUUGUCGUCAGCUCGUGCCGUGAGGUGUCAGGUUAAGUCCUAUAACGAGCGCAACCCCUGUUGUUAGUUGCCAGCGAGUCAUGUCGGGAACUCUAACAAGACUGCCAGUGUAAACUGUGAGGAAGGUGGGGAUGACGUCAAAUCAUCACGGCCCUUACGCCUUGGGCUACGCACGUGCUACAAUGGCCGGUACAGAGAGCAGCCACUGGGCGACCAGGAGCGAAUCUACAAAACCGGUCACAGUUCGGAUCGGAGUCUGCAACUCGACUCCGUGAAGCUGGAAUCGCUAGUAAUCGGAUAUCAGCCAUGAUCCGGUGAAUACGUUCCCGGGCCUUGUACACACCGCCCGUCAAGCCAUGGAAGCUGGGGGUGCCUGAAGUCGGUGACCGCAAGGAGCUGCCUAGGGUAAAACUGGUAACUAGGGCUAAGUCGUAACAAGGUA
Molecule: ribosomal RNA, 1472 nt
Filed under: metagenome
Description: bacterial SSU rRNA
Rfam family: Bacterial small subunit ribosomal RNA
Source: RNAcentral